CCUACGGGAGGCAGCAGUGAGGAAUAUUGGUCAAUGGGCGCGAGCCUGAACCAGCCAAGUAGCGUGAAGGAUGACGGCCCUACGGAUUGUAAACUUCUUUUGUCAGGGAGCAAUUGGGUCCACGCGUGGGCUUAGCAAGAGUACCUGAAGAAAAAGCUUCGGCUAACUCCGUGCCAGCAGCCGCGGUAAUACGGAGGAUGCGAGCGUUAGCGGGAUUUUUUGGGUUUAAAGGGUGCGUAGGUGGAAUAUCAAGUCAGCGGUAAAGAUUCGGGGCGCAACCCCGUCGUGCCGUUGAAACUGAUGUUCUUGAGUGGGCGAGAAGUAUGCGGAAGGCGGGGUGUAGCGGUGAAAUGCAUAGAUAUCACGCAGAACUCCGAUUGCGAAGGCAGCAUACCGGCGCCCAACUGACGCUGAAGCACGAAAGCGGGGGUAUCGAACAGGAUGAGAUACCCUUGUAGUC
This 460-nucleotide ribosomal RNA is filed under the name uncultured bacterium. RNAcentral describes it as "partial 16S ribosomal RNA". It matches the Rfam family "Bacterial small subunit ribosomal RNA", at positions 338 to 795 of the family's 1533-position model. The record is from RNAcentral.